This is a non-coding RNA of Xyrichtys novacula (pearly razorfish), 1543 nucleotides long. Lineage: Eukaryota; Metazoa; Chordata; Actinopteri; Labriformes; Labridae. The record is from the annotation of a GenBank genome assembly.
AGGAGGAGAUAGCCACAUUCCAAUGUGUGCGAAUCGGCAAAAAAUGCGAAAUAGCCCUUUAACCAUACAUUUGACAGAUACGUGCCUAUUGACUUUUUUGUAGAUCUUAUUGAGAUACACGUGAUUGUCAAAUUGUGUGUCAAUAUGACAAAGUGUAUAGGCGUGACACUCAACAAUGUGUAUUUUUACCUUAGGAGACAAGAAAAAAUGGACUUUUUUCUCCUGCCAUGGGGGGGCGCUCUUUUGGGGAGUAAAAAUUCCUUCACAAAUGUGUUGAUGGCUGGACAUCGCAUCAUCCUAGAAAACUUGGAGGCCAGUGAGGACAAAAAUAAAAAGUUAUAAGACUUUUAAGAAUGUGGAUUUUUGGGUUAUCUUUGGCGCCCCCUAGAAAGUAAACCGUGGGGUGCAGCAUCAUGAUUUGUACAACUUUUAAUGGCCAUGGGGUGUAGAUUGGCCUGAGCAAAUUUGGUGCCGGUGGAACGAAAGCCUUCGGAGGAGUUAGCGAAAUUCCAAUGUGUGCGGAUCGGCAAAAAAAGCGAAAUAGCCCUUUAACCGUACAUUUGGCAGAUACGCCCGCACUGACUUUUUCGUAGAUCUUAUUGAGAUACACAUGUGUGUCAAAUUUUGUGUCAUUUUGACAAAGCGUACAGGCAUCAGGUGAGUUUUCACCAUAGGGGGCGCUAUGGAGCCAUUUUUCAUUUUUUUGUUUGGACGACUUCAGAAUAUCAAAUUUUUCACCAGGCCCGGUCGUCCUGCCAAAUUUCCUGAGUUUUCGCCAGUGGGAAGUGGGCCAUUUUCCAGUUUAAAGCGGAGGAAAAAUAACGAAAGAAGAAUCCAUCAGGAACAAGAGGGCUCUCGCAGCUGCUUAGCAGCUACGCUCGGGCCCUAAGAAAGAAAGAAAGAAAGAAAGAAAGAAAGAAAGAAACAAAGAAAAACCACUUGGGGAAUAAUAGGGCCUACGCCCGGCUGCUCUGCAGCUGGCUCGGGCCCUAACUAGGGCCCCGUCGGGGCACUGGCGGGCUCGAGCCGUGUCGCGCCGCCCCCCGCGCGACCGCCUACCCCUCCCGAUCGCGUCACACUCGAGGUCCAAAGAUGGUGUGCGCACUUGUCUGUGGUCAUUUACCAUUAUAAUGAAUGGGAGGCGCAGUUUCUACCAAAACGCUCGCUGCAGACAUACUCCAUGUCCUUUUUGAAAAAAUUCUGGACCAGGAGUGAGGGCACAAACACAGCUAGUAUAUAUCCAAAUGGCAAGUUGCUCCUCCUUUCGGUUUUGCCGAGAGAGCGAUGCGUUUGAGCCAUUGAGCGAUGGGCAGGAAAAACUUGACUUUUUCCCCUGCCAUGGGGGGGCGCUCUUAUGGGGAGAAAAAAUUCCUUCACAAAUGUGUUGAUGACUGAACAUUGCAUCAUCCUAGAAAACUUGGAGGCCAGUGAGGACAAAAAUAAAGUUAUAAGACUUUUAAAAAUGUGGAUAUUUGGGUCCUCUUUGGCGCCCCCUAGAACGUAAACCGUGGGGUGCAGCGUCAUGAUUUUUACAACUUUGAAU